RNAcentral lists this ribosomal RNA (1433 nucleotides) under uncultured organism. Its description in RNAcentral is "SSU rRNA". It matches the Rfam family "Bacterial small subunit ribosomal RNA". The record is from RNAcentral.
GCUUAACACAUGCAAGUCGAGGGGCAGCAUGGUCUUAGCUUGCUAAGGCCGAUGGCGACCGGCGCACGGGUGAGUAACACGUAUCCAACCUGCCGUCUACUCUUGGACAGCCUUCUGAAAGGAAGAUUAAUACAAGAUGGCGUCAUGAGUUCACAUGUUCACAUGAUUAAAGGUAUUCCGGUAGACGAUGGGGAUGCGUUCCAUUAGAUAGUAGGCGGGGUAACGGCCCACCUAGUCUUCGAUGGAUAGGGGUUCUGAGAGGAAGGUCCCCCACAUUGGAACUGAGACACGGUCCAAACUCCUACGGGAGGCAGCAGUGAGGAAUAUUGGUCAAUGGGCGCAGGCCUGAACCAGCCAAGUAGCGUGAAGGAUGACUGCCCUAUGGGUUGUAAACUUCUUUUAUAAAGGAAUAAAGUCGGGUAUGGAUACCCGUUUGCAUGUACUUUAUGAAUAAGGAUCGGCUAACUCCGUGCCAGCAGCCGCGGUAAUACGGAGGAUCCGAGCGUUAUCCGGAUUUAUUGGGUUUAAAGGGAGCGUAGAUGGAUGUUUAAGUCAGUUGUGAAAGUUUGCGGCUCAACCAUAAAAUUGCAGUUGAUACUGGAUAUCUUGAGUGCAGUUGAGGCAGGCGGAAUUCGUGGUGUAGCGGUGAAAUGCUUAGAUAUCACGAAGAACUCCGAUUGCGAAGGCAGCCUGCUAAGCUGCAACUGACAUUGAGGCUCGAAGGUGUGGGUAUCAAACAGGAUUAGAUACCCUGGUAGUCCACACGGUAAACGAUGAAUACUCGCUGUUUGCGAUAUACGGCAAGCGGCCAAGCGAAAGCGUUAAGUAUUCCACCUGGGGAGUACGCCGGCAACGGUGAAACUCAAAGGAAUUGACGGGGGCCCGCACAAGCGGAGGAACAUGUGGUUUAAUUCGAUGAUACGCGAGGAACCUUACCCGGGCUUAAAUUGCAGAUGAAUUACGGUGAAAGCCGUAAGCCGCAAGGCAUCUGUGAAGGUGCUGCAUGGUUGUCGUCAGCUCGUGCCGUGAGGUGUCGGCUUAAGUGCCAUAACGAGCGCAACCCUUGUUGUCAGUUACUAACAGGUUCUGCUGAGGACUCUGACAAGACUGCCAUCGUAAGAUGUGAGGAAGGUGGGGAUGACGUCAAAUCAGCACGGCCCUUACGUCCGGGGCUACACACGUGUUACAAUGGGGGGUACAGAGGGCCGCUACCACGCGAGUGGAUGCCAAUCCCAAAAACCUCUCUCAGUUCGGACUGGAGUCUGCAACCCGACUCCACGAAGCUGGAUUCGCUAGUAAUCGCGCAUCAGCCACGGCGCGGUGAAUACGUUCCCGGGCCUUGUACACACCGCCCGUCAAGCCAUGGGAGCCGGGGGUACCUGAAGUGCGUAACCAAGAGGAGCGCCCUAGGGUAAAACUGGUGACUGGGGCUC